This 254-nucleotide ribosomal RNA is filed under the name uncultured bacterium. Its description in RNAcentral is "partial 16S ribosomal RNA". It matches the Rfam family "Bacterial small subunit ribosomal RNA", at positions 524 to 776 of the family's 1533-position model. The record is from RNAcentral.
UACGUAGGAUCCAAGCGUUAUCCGGAAUCACUGGGCGUAAAGCGUGCGUAGGCGGCGUGUUAAGUGAGAUGCGAAAUCUUGUGGCUCAACCAUAUAGACUGUGUCUCAUACUGGCAUGCUAGAGAAUGGCAGAGGCAAGUGGAAUUACCGGUGUAGCAGUGAAAUGCGUAGAUAUCAGGAGGAAUACCGAUGGCGAAGGCAGGGCUCGGGGCUGACACUGACGCUCAUGCACGAAAGCGUGGGGAGCAAACAGG